Molecule: ribosomal RNA, 1278 nt
Filed under: Harpalus griseus
Lineage: Eukaryota; Metazoa; Arthropoda; Insecta; Coleoptera; Carabidae
Description: 16S ribosomal RNA
Rfam family: Archaeal large subunit ribosomal RNA (bases 1038-1196)
Source: RNAcentral
AUUAAAAUUAAUAAAAAUAAUUUUAAAAAUUUAUUUUUUAGUAUAAGGUAUAGAAAAAAUUUUAUUUAUUAUAGUGAAAUAGUAUUGUGAAAGAAUAUUGAAAUAUAAUUUAAUUAUUUAAAAGUAGAAUUUAUUUUUUGUACCUUGUGUAUCAGGGUUUAUUUAAUAUAAAUUAAUUAAAUUAAUUUUCUCGAUUUUAAGAGAGCUAAUAUAUUAUUUUUUUUAUUGUAGAAUAAAUAUUUAUAAUAAUUUAUUAGUAAUGAAACGUUAUUCGUUCUUAAAUGUAUCUAGUUUAUUUAGAAAUGAAUUUAAUUCAGAUAUUUUAAUUUUAAUAGUUUAAUUUGUUAAAUUAUUAAAUUUUAAUAUUAAUAAUUAAAGGGAUUAGCUUUUAAUUAAAAAUUUAUAAAUUAAAAAUUUUAUUUAAGAAAUGUAAGUUUAGAAAUAUCUAUCAUUAAUAAUUUGUUAUAAUUAAUUUAAUUUAAAAUAUUAUUUUAUAUGAUUUUAAAUUUUUUAUAAAUAAAUAAUUUUUAAUUUUUAAAAAUUAGAUAUAAUGAUAAAAUUAGUAUAUUUUAAAUAUUUAAAUAAUAUUAAUUAAAAGAUUAUUUAAAGGAAUUCGGCAAAUAUUUUACUCGCCUGUUUAACAAAAACAUGUCUUUUUGAUAUAUAUAUAAAGUCUAGCCUGCCCAAUGAAUUUAUUUUAAUGGCUGCAGUAAAUUGACUGUACAAAGGUAGCAUAAUCAUUAGUUUUUUAAUUAAAAGCUUGUAUGAAAGGUUGGACGAGGUAAAAUCUGUCUCUAUUUAAUUUAUUAUAGAAUUUAAUUUUUAAGUUAAAAAGCUUAAAUAAUUAUAAAAGACGAGAAGACCCUAUAGAGCUUUAUAUUUUAUUGAAUAUAAUUAAUUAAGAUGUAUAAAAGUUUUAUUUAAUAAAUUAUUUUAUUGGGGUAAUAGAGAGAUUAAUAAAAUUCUUUUUGUUUAUUAACAUUAAUUUAUGAUUUAAUGAUCCAUUAUUAUUGAUUAAAAGAUUAAGUUACCUUAGGGAUAACAGCGUAAUUUUUUUAAAGAGUUCAUAUCGAUAAAAAAGUUUGCGACCUCGAUGUUGGAUUAAAGAUUAGUUUAGGUGCAGAAGUUUAAAUUUUUGGUCUGUUCGACCAUUAAAUCUUUACAUGAUCUGAGUUCAGACCGGUGUAAACCAGGUCGGUUUCUAUCUUUAUUAAAUUAAAAUAUUUUAGUACGAAAGGACCAAUUAUUUAAUAUAUUUAUAUUUAUGUUUUGAAUAUU